Molecule: ribosomal RNA, 286 nt
Filed under: Monacha cartusiana
Lineage: Eukaryota; Metazoa; Mollusca; Gastropoda; Stylommatophora; Hygromiidae
Description: partial 16S ribosomal RNA
Source: RNAcentral
UCAGUUGGCUUAUAAUUGAAGUCUAGUAUGAAUGGGAACUCGGGGAUAUUCUGUCCUUUAUUUACGAUUAGAAAUUACUAAUUAAGUGAAAAUUCUUAAGCCUUUAGAAAAAAGACGAGAAGACCCUAGAAAUUUUUUAUUAUAUAUUUUGUUGGGGCGACAAGGUAACAUAAAACUUACCUAUACAAUAGGAAAUUUUUAAAUUGGGUAAAUAAAUUACUCUAGGGAUAACAGCAUAAUAUUUUAAAGUUUGUGACCUCGAUGUUGGACUAGGAAAUACCCUACU